GACGAACGCUGGCGGCGUGCCUAAUACAUGCAAGUAGAACGCUGAAGGAGGAGCUUGCUUCUCUGGAUGAGUUGCGAACGGGUGAGUAACGCGUAGGUAACCUGCCUGGUAGCGGGGGAUAACUAGUGGAAACGAUAGCUAAUACCGCAUAAGAGUAGAUGUCGCAUGACAUUUGCUUAAAAGGUGCAAUUGCAUCACUACCAGAUGGACCUGCGUUGUAUUAGCUAGUUGGUGAGGUAACGGCUCACCAAGGCAACGAUACAUAGCCGACCUGAGAGGGGGGUCGGCCACACUGGGACGGAGACACGGCCCAGACUCCUACGGGAGGCAGCAGUAGGGAAUCUUCGGCAAUGGACGGAAGUCUGACCGAGCAACGCCGCGUGAGUGAAGAAGGUUGUCGGAUCGUAAAGCUCUGUUGUAAGAGAAGAACGAGUGUGAGAGUGGAAAGUUCACACUGUGACGGUAUCUUACCAGAAAGGGACGGCUAACUACGUG
This 495-nucleotide ribosomal RNA is filed under the name uncultured bacterium. RNAcentral's name for it is "partial 16S ribosomal RNA". It matches the Rfam family "Bacterial small subunit ribosomal RNA", at positions 28 to 507 of the family's 1533-position model. The record is from RNAcentral.